Long non-coding RNA from Xenia sp. Carnegie-2017, 457 nucleotides. RefSeq lists it as uncharacterized. Lineage: Eukaryota; Metazoa; Cnidaria; Anthozoa; Malacalcyonacea; Xeniidae. The record is from RefSeq and is a predicted model, not a curated record. The transcript has 2 exons.
CGUCGGCCAUGUUGGAUGUCUUAAGCCUAGUUUAUUAAACGAAGGAAUGAUAAAAAACAGCAGAUCCUGAGACUACAGAACAGAAAACUGAUUGUAUCUGCCGAAAGGAAGAAGAACGCUUAAUAGCUCAGUGUGAUGGCUACUACCAGUGGUUUCACGGAGUAUUCGUUGAUGUAAAUCAGGAGAAAGCAGAUGCAAUGGAACAAUACAUUUGUGGGCACCCAUCCAGCAUAUGCGAACGUUACUGCUUAGUUAAUUCAAGAGGAUUGCUUGCAAACAGAGAGCAAUGAAUACAUAAACAGUAGAAUGACCUCACUGUGCAACUCCAUGCUGUAUAGUAAUUUAAUUAGAUUUCAGGCUGUGUUUUGCUAUUUCAGUAAUACUAUUGGUAAAUUAUUCUGACUGCACACCGUAAUUGCAGUCGCAUGUGCAAUAAGAUAUGCGUACCACAUAACAG